This is a non-coding RNA of Fukomys damarensis (Damara mole-rat), 94 nucleotides long. NCBI's taxonomy places the organism in Eukaryota, Metazoa, Chordata, Mammalia, Rodentia, Bathyergidae. The record is from Rfam.
CCCUCCCUUCUCCACGCCCCCCCCCACGUCAAGCCUCUGGCAUCAUUAUCCUCAGCGCUAAGUCCUCAGAGUGCAGGGCGGAAAGCGUGCACAC